GAUGAACGCUAGCGGCAGGCCUAACACAUGCAAGUCGAGGGAAAGGAUACCUUCGGGUCACCAAAACCGGCGCACGGGUGCGUAACGCGUAUACAAUCUGCCUUUCACAUAGGGAUAGCCCGAAGAAAUUUGGAUUAAUACCUAAUGGUAUAUAAAUACGGCAUCGUUUUUUUAUUAAAGCUACGGUGGUGAAAGAUGAGUAUGCGUUCUAUUAGCUAGUUGGUGAGGUAAUGGCUCCCCAAGGCGACGAUAGAUAGGUGUUCUGAGAGGAGUGUACCCCAGACUGGUACCGAGAUACGGACCACACUGGUACGGGACGGAGCAGUAAGGAACACUGGAGACGGGACGGUAGACUGAUCCAGCCACGCCGGGUGCAGGAUGCAGGGGCUCGGGAUUGUAAACUGCUUGUGUAAGGGAAGUAUAAGGAGUACGUGUACCUUGAUGACGGUACCUGACGAAUAAGCAACGGCUAACUACGUG
This 480-nucleotide ribosomal RNA is filed under the name uncultured bacterium. RNAcentral describes it as "partial 16S ribosomal RNA". It matches the Rfam family "Bacterial small subunit ribosomal RNA", at positions 28 to 507 of the family's 1533-position model. The record is from RNAcentral.